Molecule: ribosomal RNA, 325 nt
Filed under: uncultured bacterium
Lineage: Bacteria
Description: bacterial SSU rRNA
Rfam family: Bacterial small subunit ribosomal RNA
Source: RNAcentral
GAUGAACGCUGGCGGCGUGCUUAACACAUGCAAGUCGAACGGAGUACCCCUGAAGGAGUUUUCGGACAACGGAAGGGACUGCUUAGUGGCGGACGGGUGAGUAACGCGUGAGGAACCUGCCUUGGAGUGGGGAAUAACAGGUGGAAACAUCUGCUAAUACCGCAUGAUGCAGUUGAGUCGCAUGGCUCUGACUGCCAAAGAUUUAUCGCUCUGAGAUGGACUCGCGUCUGAUUAGCUGGUUGGCGGGGUAACGGCCCACCAAGGCGACGAUCAGUAGCCGGACUGAGAGGUUGGCCGGCCACAUUGGGACUGAGACACGGCCCAG